AGGUAGAAGGUACGAGACUAGGCGGCAGGCUGUACACCUGCCUACAGAGGUACCAUCUUCUAU
This 63-nucleotide transfer RNA is filed under the name Nephrurus laevissimus. RNAcentral's name for it is "tRNA-Tyr". Lineage: Eukaryota; Metazoa; Chordata; Lepidosauria; Squamata; Carphodactylidae. The record is from RNAcentral.